CUACGGGUUGCUGCAGUGAGGAAUAUUGCACAAUGGGGGGAACCCUGAUGCAGCAACGCCGCGUGGAGGAUGACGCAUUUCGGUGUGUAAACUCCUUUUAUAUGUCAAGAAAAUGGCGGUAGCAUAUGAAUAAGCACCGGCUAACUCCGUGCCAGCAGCCGCGGCAAUACGGAGGGUGCAAGCGGUUACUCGGAAUCACUGGGCGUAAAGGACGCGUAGGCGGGUUGGAAAGUCAGGUGUGAAAUCCUACAGCUUAACUGUAGAACUGCACUUGAAACUUCUAAUCUAGAGUAUGGGAGGGGGAGAUGGAAUUAGUGGUGUAGGGGUAAUAUCCGUAGAUAUCACUAGGAAUACCUAAAGCGAAGGCGAUCUCCUGGAACAUUACUGACGCUAAGGCGUGAAAGCGUGGGGAGCAAACAGGAUUAGAUACCCGAGUAGUC
Molecule: ribosomal RNA, 440 nt
Filed under: uncultured bacterium
Lineage: Bacteria
Description: partial 16S ribosomal RNA
Rfam family: Bacterial small subunit ribosomal RNA
Source: RNAcentral